AUUGAACGCUGGCGGCAGGCCUAACACAUGCAAGUCGAGCGGAUGAAGGGAGCUUGCUCCUGGAUUCAGCGGCGGACGGGUGAGUAAUGCCUAGGAAUCUGCCUGGUAGUGGGGGAUAACGUCCGGAAACGGGCGCUAAUACCGCAUACGUCCUGAGGGAGAAAGUGGGGGAUCUUCGGACCUCACGCUAUCAGAUGAGCCUAGGUCGGAUUAGCUAGUUGGUGGGGUAAAGGCCUACCAAGGCGACGAUCCGUAACUGGUCUGAGAGGAUGAUCAGUCAACAUGGAAAUGAGACAAGGUCCAGACUCCUAAGGGAGGCAGCAGUGGGGAAUAUUGGACAAUGGGCGAAAGCCUGAUCCAGCCAUGCCGCGUGUGUGAAGAAGGUCUUCGGAUUGUAAAACACUUUAAGUUGGGAGGAAGGGCAGUAAGUUAAUACCUUGCUGUUUUGACGUUACCAACAGAAUAAGCACCGGCUAACUUCGUG
This 484-nucleotide ribosomal RNA is filed under the name uncultured bacterium. Its description in RNAcentral is "partial 16S ribosomal RNA". It matches the Rfam family "Bacterial small subunit ribosomal RNA", at positions 30 to 507 of the family's 1533-position model. The record is from RNAcentral.